AACGCACCUUGCGCCCUUUGGCUAUUCCGAAGGGCAUGCCUGUUUGAGUAUCAUGAACACCUCAACUCUCAUGGUCUGCCAUGAUGAGCUUGGACUUUGGGGGCCUUGCCGGCCAAGUGUCGGCUCCUCUCAAAUGGAUCAGCUUGCCAGUGUUUGGUGGCGUCACAGGUGUGAUAACUAUCUACGCUUGUUGUUCUCUGCCAUGUAACCUUCAGUGAUGGAGGUUCGCUGGAGCUCACAGAUGUCUCUCCCUGGGAGGACAGCUCUUUGAACGUUUGAUCUCAAAUCAGGUAGGACUACCCGCUGAACUUAA
This 313-nucleotide unclassified non-coding RNA is filed under the name uncultured Tomentella. RNAcentral describes it as "sequence contains ITS2". The record is from RNAcentral. Lineage: Eukaryota; Fungi; Basidiomycota; Agaricomycetes; Thelephorales; Thelephoraceae.